GUGCUGGCUUCAGCCUCACCUAUAUUAAAAUAGGGGCAAUAUAGAGAAGGUUAUCAUGGCCCCUGUGCAACGAUGACACGCAAAUUCAUGAUGGAUUGAUGGGCUGA
Small nuclear RNA from Chrysolophus pictus (golden pheasant), 107 nucleotides. The record is from Ensembl. NCBI's taxonomy places the organism in Eukaryota, Metazoa, Chordata, Aves, Galliformes, Phasianidae.